Pistacia vera is the source of this 107-nucleotide small nucleolar RNA. NCBI's taxonomy places the organism in Eukaryota, Viridiplantae, Streptophyta, Magnoliopsida, Sapindales, Anacardiaceae. The record is from RefSeq and is a predicted model, not a curated record.
AAACAAUGGUGUGGAAACUUCCUCAACAUUUCCUUGAAUCUCUCCUAUGCUUCAUAUAAUGAUUCAUGGUCACCUUGUACAAAUGAGGUAAUGUCAUUUCUCAUCUU